RNAcentral lists this ribosomal RNA (662 nucleotides) under uncultured cyanobacterium. RNAcentral describes it as "bacterial SSU rRNA". It matches the Rfam family "Bacterial small subunit ribosomal RNA", at positions 99 to 795 of the family's 1533-position model. The record is from RNAcentral. Lineage: Bacteria; Bacillati; Cyanobacteriota.
CGGACGGGUGAGUAACGCGUGAGAAUCUGCCUUCAGGUCGGGGACAACCACUGGAAACGGUGGCUAAUACCCGAUGUGCGCAACGUGAAAGAUUUAUCGCCUGAAGAGGAGCCCGCGUCUGAUUAGCUAGUUGGUGGGGUAAAAGCUCACCAAGGCGACGAUCAGUAGCUGGUCUGAGAGGAUGAUCAGCCACACUGGGACCGAGACACGGCCCAGACUCCUACGGGAGGCAGCAGUGGGGAAUUUUCCGCAAUGGGCGAAAGCCUGACGGAGCAAGACCGCGUGAGGGAGGAAGGCUCUUGGGUUGUAAACCUCUUUUCUCAGGGAAGAACACAAUGACGGUACCUGAGGAAUCAGCCUCGGCUAACUCCGUGCCAGCAGCUGCGGUAAUACGGAGGAGGCAAGCGUUAUCCGGAAUUAUUGGGCGUAAAGCGUCCGCAGGUGGCACUUCAAGUCUGUCGUCAAAGACUGGGGCUUAACCCUGGAAAGGCGGUGGAAACUGAAGCGCUAGAGUGUGGUAGGGGUAGAGGGAAUUCCCGGUGUAGCGGUGAAAUGCGUAGAGAUCGGGAAGAACAUCUUUGGCGAAGGCGCUCUACUGGACCACAACUGACACUCACGGACGAAAGCUAUACGAGAGAAUGGGAUUAGAAACCACAUUACUC